GAUGAAGAACGUAGCGAAAUGCGAUAAGUAGUGUGAAUUGCAGAAUUCAGUGAAUCAUCGAAUCUUUGAACUCACAUUGCGCCCUUUGGUAUUCCAAAGGGCAUGCCUGUUCGAGCGUCAUUUGUACCCUCAAGCUUUGCUUGGUGUUGGGCGUCUUGUCUCUAGCUUUGCUGGAGACUCGCCUUAAAGUAAUUGGCAGCCGGCCUACUGGUUUCGGAGCGCAGCACAAGUCGCACUCUCUAUCAGCAAAGGUCUAGCAUCCAUUAAGCCUUUUUUUCAACUUUUGACCUCGGAUCAGGUAGGGAUACCCGCUGAACUUAAGCAUAUCAAUAAGCGGAGGA
This 341-nucleotide unclassified non-coding RNA is filed under the name soil metagenome. RNAcentral's name for it is "partial contains 5.8S ribosomal RNA, internal transcribed spacer 2, and large subunit ribosomal RNA". The stretch from base 1 to 120 matches the Rfam family "5.8S ribosomal RNA", at positions 35 to 154 of the family's 154-position model. The record is from RNAcentral.